Molecule: ribosomal RNA, 390 nt
Filed under: uncultured bacterium
Lineage: Bacteria
Description: bacterial SSU rRNA
Rfam family: Bacterial small subunit ribosomal RNA
Source: RNAcentral
GACGAACGCUGGCGGCGUGCUUAACACAUGCAAGUCGAGCGGUAAGGCCCUUUCGGGGGUACGACGAGCGGCGAACGGGUGAGUAACACGUGGGUGACCUGCCCUCAGCUCUGGGAUAAGCCUGGGAAACCGGGGUCUAAUACCGGAUAUGACUCCAUGACGCAUGUUGUGGGGUGGAAAGCCUUGUGCGGCUGAGGAUGGGCCCGCGGCCUAUCAGCUUGUUGGUGGGGUGAUGGCCUACCAAGGCGACGACGGGUAGCCGGCCUGAGAGGGCGACCGGCCACACUGGGACUGAGACACGGCCCAGACUCCUACGGGAGGCAGCAGUGGGGAAUCUUGCGCAAUGGGCGAAAGCCUGACGCAGCGACGCCGCGUGAGGGAUGACGGCCU